GUGAAUCAUCGAAUUUUUGAACGCAAAUUGCGCUUCCUGGCAUCCCGGGAAGUAUGCCUGUUUGAGGGUCAGUAAUAAUAAAAAAUCGGUUUAGUUACAAAUUGUGACGUUCGCGGGGUUUGGGCUAUCUUUACAUUUUUGUUUAAGCAGUUAAAAUUUUACCUUUUUUGCGCAUUUUUAAACGUACAUAAAUUUUCUUUUGUGUUCUAUACUUUAUAUUAAAAUCUAUU
RNAcentral lists this unclassified non-coding RNA (230 nucleotides) under Glomeraceae sp. Its description in RNAcentral is "partial contains 5.8S ribosomal RNA and internal transcribed spacer 2". The stretch from base 1 to 71 matches the Rfam family "5.8S ribosomal RNA", at positions 84 to 154 of the family's 154-position model. Lineage: Eukaryota; Fungi; Glomeromycota; Glomeromycetes; Glomerales; Glomeraceae. The record is from RNAcentral.